ACUUGACAUUUCAGACCUUGUGCCUUCCUGCACAUCUGCUCCUUAUCAGAAGCAGCAGAGCUGGGCGCUGGCACAGCUAGCUGCUCCACCCUUCCAUGGCCGAGCUCUUCUUCAGCCUUCUAACUGGCUGCACUAGCGUCUGGACAUCUCCUCAAUGAUGAACAUCCUGACUGACCGGUCAAGGUCUUAGAUGUCACUGCAGUCUUGCUGCCCACUCUGCAUCUGAGUCUUCCCACACAGGUGUGACCCUCUGACUCACUGGGACAUGAAAGGUGUCACAGAAAGAGAAACCUGUCUUGGUUCCCAGCAUCAACUCCUACGGUGGCAUGGCUUCAUCACCAUUGUCUCUCACGAGGAGUCCCCGUCCUACUACUCCGCCAGAGGUCUGCCUGGAAGCCUCAAUCAAUCACAGUGAGAGUCUUCUCUGUGAAAUGUGGAGCCAAGGUCCUUUGAAGAUCCCCGAAGGAAAGCUGGAGAGGAAGUGCUGGUCUGAGGCCAAAGGCAGUAAAGACUGAAAAGGGGCCAGGGACAGUGUCGAGAGCUGUGUCUGGCUUGGCACCUGCACCAGACCUUGUUGCGAGGGGAGGCAGAGCCAGUGAGAAAGCAGGUCUCCCCUCCCCCCGCCUGGUUCAUGACCUAUAUCGGAAGUGACACAGGAGGACUCCAAAAUGCUUGCAAGGCAGCCAGCGUGCAAAGUGCAAAGUGGCUGUGGGCGUGCCUGGCUGUUUCACGUCCCUGCGACCUUGACUUUCCUGUGACGAUGGACACUAGCCUGACAUAAUGAGCCACAUAAACCCAGUCUCCCGUAAGUUGCUUUUGUUCCAGUGUUUCAUCACAGCCACAAGAAACAAAACCGAGACUCGUCACUAACCAAGUCCCACAAAAUGUGUGACCAAGCUUUGGACUUCAGAAGCACUUCACUAUCAAAACGUGGGACUGGCACUCCCCACCCUCCUGGCCACCUUGCUGGAUUUGGGUGUAGAGCUGCAGUGAGUUAUGUGAAAGCGUUUUGUGGAUUAAAGACGCCAAGGGAGAAGACGAAGUUUGCAGAGCUCUAUCUAAAGAGGGGAUACAAGAAAGAAAAGGAGCAGGCGUGGGGAGAUGGAGAGAGGGUAUAACCUGUGGAUGGAGCUUGUUAUGGCUGGUGGAGACACUGUUCUGUGUUGGCACAGAACACAGUUGGUAGGAAAAGAAGAAGUCACUCUCAGUGCUCAGGGCAGCAGCAAAAAAACAAAAAACAAAACAGCAAGGUGCGUCAAACCAAGAUGGGAAGGCUGGCUGCUGGUGUCAUUUAGCACAGGGACGGAGUACGAAUUGUUAUAGUUGGAGGUCUCAAAGGCCCCAGCAGGGAAGUGCUAAAAUGUGCCAUCCAGUUUCCUUCUAACAGGGUAGAGCAGAGAGUCGCAGCCUUCCUCUGAACUGUGCUGAGUCCUUCACCAGCGCGGAGGAGCGGUGAGAUUGUAAGGACUGUCCUUCAGUCCUGAGCCCAUGCUCAGUUACACCAGCAUCCCUGGGCCUCAGAAAAACCGGAGUCCUUGUUCUGGGCCAGGUAGGCCCACGGGUGUCUCAGCCAGCCACAUUCCUUCCUGGCUAGAGGCUUCUUCUGCCCACUUCGGCUGAGGCAGGGGAAUUAUGAUAGUGGGAAGUUGUGAUCAGGAGCAACUGAAGACCUGAGACAGGAAUUGGAGAUGCCAAUCUCUUAACCAUUUUUUUUUCUACACUGCAUUUCAGGAAGUGAUGGUAAGUGCCUGGGAAUCACAGAGAUCCUGUACAUGCUCAGUAUUACCAGUCAGAUCCUGCUAAUGCAAGGACCACGGCAGUGAAACUUUCCAUAUGACAAAAGCAAUUUCCCCAGCCUAGCCGAUGGCCCACUUAUUUCAACAAUAUUCUACGCACCCACAGUGAUAGCUCUCUUCUCCCAGCACUCAGCUCGCUCAUUGUCUGUCCUGAUGGCGCUGUAAGCGCCUGUCAUCUGCCGCCAGUCCCCAGUGUUUGACGUUUAUUCUUCCUGCCUUCCCGUCGGCAUGAAGACAUCCUCAAGGCCGUACCAAACUGAUCUCUGCUGCAGAGACAGGGACGUAGAGUGGCCAGGCCUUCAGCAGAGCCCACCCUGAAUGCUUUCUACUCAUCCUUAAGUGCCUGUCACCUGGGAGAUGCAGAUCCCACUCCCUGUGGGUUCACAGGGUGGUGCCAGAAGCAGACCAGCAGACUGCUAUCAUGAUUCAAGGUGAAAGGCCUUUCCUAGAAGAGGACUCAGAGCAGGGACCCAUGGAGUCAGCAUCUAACAUAGGCAGCCAGAGUCCAGGAAGACAUCCUAGAGGAAAUGGACGACAGACAGGAGUGAUCCAAGCCCAGGAGGGGAAAGGUCAAGGCAUUGGGAAAACAUGGCUGGACUUCUGGGUGUGGGGCAUUGUGAAGUGGGGUAAUAGUAGCUCGGUUAGAUUGCAGGCUUACCUUUUUAUUCAGAAACACAGUAGAAAUCUUAUAUGCUUGCUGUCAUCUAAGCCUGACAAUGACCCCACUGUCCCCAUUCCAUGUGGCAAGGAGGAUAAAAAGACUGGGGGGGGGGCAUGUUGGGUGGCCCUGAGUAGCAUGAAGGUCGUACUUGCCGUUUUGGAAAGACUGCCCUGGCUUCGUGGUGAAUAACAGACGCAAGCGAGUGCAGCUGGAAGCAGGAGAUGCACCAAGGGGCUACAUUCUAAUCUAAAUAAGAGACGGGACCCCAGGUGUGGCUUGAGGGGAAGAGAAGUGGACCGGGACCUGAUAGGACCUCACCCACACACAGUGGAGAAGAGAAAGGACGAGACACAGGCUGGUUCCAGGAUCAGAGGAAGCCCCUGAAGGUCCCACUGUCCAUGCCCACCAGACUUGAGAGGAAUGAAGCACUCUGUGGGUGGCCAGGCUGCUGUGUAGAGGAUGUUUGAAUGGCAGGCAACUGCUGAGAUCUCAUCAGGCAAUACCUUGGUAUCUGCAGGAGCAGUCCCUCUCUCCAAGUGAAACAUCCCUGAGAGAUGCCAGGCCCCUGGUGCAGCCAGGCAGACUCGCUUCCGAUAGUGGUGUAAGGGGAAAGUGUGGUCCUGAAAACAAGGGCUCCAGAGAUCAAGAUGGAUGAGAUGGUAUAGGAAGUAUUGGGGUUCCAAUUCCAGGGCUCCCUUGGUUCAUUUUUAUGCAGGCUACCCGUGGAAUUUUAUGCAGUGACAGGAUACCAGAGACUUGGGUGAAUUAGUUACUUUUCUUGCCAACGUAACAAAAUGCCUGAUGGAAGUUGGUUAAGGUGGGAGUGCUCUGUCUAAGUUCAGUUUCUGAGGAAAUGGUCCACCACGGUGGGAAAGGUGGAGUGCUAGAGCAGUUCUGUGUCUCUGGCAGCUGUGGCAGCUGUGGCAUGUUUACAUCUGGGUAGCACAGGGAGCAGAAAGCUCAGGUCAGAAGCAGGAGUGGAUGUCACCUUCAAGACUCAUCCCCAAGGACCUACUUCUGCUAGCUAGUCCCUGAGUCUUAAAGGUUCUCCCAAAACAGUGCCACCAGCUGGGACCAAGUAUACAACACAUGAGCCUGUGGGGGACAUUUCACAUGCAAACCAUGACACUGGGUAGUUCAUAAACCACAGGGGGGCUUCUUUGGCCCACAAGCCUUGGAGGCUGGAGGGUUCAGUGCUAAGGUACUGAUGGUUAAGGUCCGGUGAGGCCCUUUAUGCUGCGUCAUGCCAUGGAGGAAGACAGAUGGGCAACGGUGUGAAGAGGAUGGCCAUAUACGAGACUAAGGAAAUUCAUCCUUUCGCCUCGAAUCGAUUCUCACAAUAACUAGCCCAUUUCCAUGAUAACAGAGUUCGUCAUUAAUCUAUGAGCUGUUGUCCUUGUGGUCUCCUCCGUCUUUGAAAGUCCCAUCUCUCAACCCUUCACACUGGAGGAUUGUUUCCAACGCAGACUUCGGGGAAACACAUUCAAGCUCCAGUAUUAAAAGUCCCUGCCAGGGUUCGGAACUAACUGAAGAAUCCACCUCAGCCUUCUUGGGGACUAGGGCAUCGGGGACUCUGUCUAGGAUGAGCUGAGACUGCAGUGUGGUUUUGUCUCUUCUUCAGGUCCUGACUUGGAAUGAGGCCC
Peromyscus leucopus (white-footed mouse) is the source of this 4100-nucleotide long non-coding RNA. RefSeq lists it as uncharacterized. The record is from RefSeq and is a predicted model, not a curated record. Lineage: Eukaryota; Metazoa; Chordata; Mammalia; Rodentia; Cricetidae. The transcript is spliced from 5 exons.